GGAUUAGGCAUGCAAGUCGAGCGGAAAGGCCCGCAAGGGCACUCGAGCGGCGUAAGGGACAGUAAUGUGUAGGUACGUACCCCUGGGUCUAGGAUAGCUGCGGGAAACUGCAAUUAAUACUAGAUAAUGUCUCCGGACCAAAGGUGUGAUUCCACCUGGGGAGCGGCCUACAUCCUAUUAGCUAGUUGGCGAGGUAAUGGCUCACCAAGGCGAAGAUGGGUAGCAGGUGUGAGAGCACGACCUGCGUCACUGGGACUGAGACACUGCCCAGACACCUACGGGUGGCUGCAGUCGAGAAUCUUCGGCAAUGGGCGAAAGCCUGACCGAGCGACGCCGCGUGUGGGAUGAAGGCCUUCGGGUUGUAAACCACUGUCGGAGGGGAUGAAGUGUUAGUGGGUACUCCCAUUAACUUGACUGAUCCUCGGAGGAAGGGUGGGCUAAGUUCGUGCCAGCAGCCGCGGUAAUA
This 466-nucleotide ribosomal RNA is filed under the name uncultured bacterium. RNAcentral's name for it is "bacterial SSU rRNA". It matches the Rfam family "Bacterial small subunit ribosomal RNA", at positions 46 to 525 of the family's 1533-position model. The record is from RNAcentral.